RNAcentral lists this ribosomal RNA (331 nucleotides) under uncultured bacterium. Its description in RNAcentral is "bacterial SSU rRNA". It matches the Rfam family "Bacterial small subunit ribosomal RNA", at positions 568 to 899 of the family's 1533-position model. The record is from RNAcentral.
UGCGCAGGCGGUCCCGCAAGUCCGUUGUGAAAGCCCCGGGCUUAACCUGGGAAUGGCAGUGGAAACUAGGGGACUUGAAUCUGGCAGAGGGGGGUGGAAUGCCACGUGUAGCAGUGAAAUGCGUAGAGAUGUGGCGGAACACCGAUGGCGAAGGCAGCCCCCUGGGCUGAGAUUGACGCUCAGGCACGAAAGCGUGGGGAGCAAACAGGAUUAGAUACCCUGGUAGUCCACGCCCUAAACGAUGAUCACUAGGUGUUGGGGAAGCGAUUUCUCAGUACCGCAGCUAACGCGUGAAGUGAUCCGCCUGGGGAGUACGGUCGCAAGAUUAAAA